GACGAACGCUGGCGGCGUGCUUAACACAUGCAAGUCGAACGGAAGGGCACUGCUUUUUUGGGGUGCUCGAGUGGCGAACGGGUGCGUGACACGUGAGUAACCUGCCCUUGACUUUGGGAUAACUUCAGGAAACUGGGGCUAAUACCGUAUAGGAGCUCCUGCUGCAUGGAGGGCGUUGGAAAGUUUCGGCGGUUGGGGAUGGACGCGCGGCUUAUGAGCUUGUUGGUGGGGUAGUGGCUUACCAAGGCUGUGACGGGUAGCCGGCCUGAGAGGGUGACCGGGCACAUUGGGACUGAGAGACGGACCAGACUCCUACGGGAGGCAGCAGUGGGGAAUAUUGCACAAUGGGCGGAAGCCUGAUGAAGCAACGCCGCGUGCGGGAUGACGGCCUUCGGGUUGUAAACCGCUUUCGCCUGUGACGAAGCGUGAGUGACGGUAAUGGGUAAAGAAGCACCGGCUAACUACGUG
Molecule: ribosomal RNA, 468 nt
Filed under: uncultured bacterium
Lineage: Bacteria
Description: partial 16S ribosomal RNA
Rfam family: Bacterial small subunit ribosomal RNA
Source: RNAcentral